This is a long non-coding RNA of Triticum dicoccoides, 2966 nucleotides long. RefSeq lists it as uncharacterized. The record is from RefSeq and is a predicted model, not a curated record. The transcript has 5 exons. NCBI's taxonomy places the organism in Eukaryota, Viridiplantae, Streptophyta, Magnoliopsida, Poales, Poaceae.
CCACCCUUCCCCACGCGCUGUCGCCGACCGCCCUCCCUACCACACGUUGCCGUGACACAACCGCGUCCGUCACCGUCCUUCGCCGCCCAGCCAACCUCCUUCUUCCGCGCCGUCGGCGACCUCCCUCCAUGCAUCGUGCUCCCCCUCCAUCAACGUGUGGGUCAUGGGGUCGUCACCCUCGGCCGCUCCCCCGUGCACCACGCACCUCCGGCGUCGUCGCGACCCAUUGAACAACAAGCAUCCCUUCCUGGAUCCGGUCGCCUCCCUCCCCACUCUGUGACUUCAGAUGGAGAUGUGUGUGUGUGCAUACAUGUGUUCUAGAGACAGGAGAACUUAUCUGGUGGUGUCUGUGUGUGCUGCUGCAUCCUCUUCCGGCCGCUCUAAUUCACACCCUCAGUACAACUUCUGUAUGACCUCGUGUAAAGCAAGCAUGGCCAACACAUAGUUUAGGUGUCGCGGUAGUACUCAUUGUUUAUGGUGGCCUUCUUUUGUACCGCUACCACUUUGUUACCUAGAGUAGUACUGCCACUACUUAUCAUGUUGAUAAAUCCUCGCGAACAGUAUAUGCAUUUGAUUAAUGAUUCUGUAGGGAGAAAAAGUUCACCAAUAUACAAUCUCUAAGUUCGAUGUACCAAUCUUUUUGUUUAGUAGUUGGUACUGCUCAAGUUUAUUUCUUGAUGUACACAUGAUGUCAAAUUUCUUCUUUGAGUUCGGUUCAAUUUAUAAAUUUUGUUCAGUUCAGCGAGGUGGAUAUUGGGGCAUGGUGGGGUGUGGCCAUGUGGGUGGAGAUGGCCCGCCACAACGUCGCCAGCCGAAUCCCGCUGCCAUGUGCUCGAUCCAGCAGGUCUCCUCCCUCCCGGUGCUAGCCUCCUCGAGCUCCGUCGCCGACCAACUCCACCCCGGGUCCUGACGUAGCCCCUCAGUUCGACAUGCAUCUGCUGCGUGCUUGCUGUGGCCUGCGUGUGCUGGUGUGUUCGUGCAUGCACGAUAUAACUGAACUGAGCAUUUCUACCAUAUCUGAACCGCAGGUGGGAUGCAUCCUCUACAAAAAAGAUUCUCCGAUGCUCCUCGUCAGCUAGUGGGCCAACACGGGGGUCCUCACUGUGGCCUCCCCCACGAUGAUCUGAGUUGCACUCAUGGAAUUCUCUACUUCCCCACCUAGCAGAUCACGACGGCUCUCCCCCUCCUACUGCUCAGCAUCAUUGAUCUCAACGACGAAUAGGGACAAAAAUAAACGUGAAUCUUGUCGUCCUCUUGAUGCAACCAAAUCCCAGCGCACCUGGUAGUUCAAACUUACAUUGGAUGGCCGGCGACCAACUGCCCCGCCUCUACAAGCUCCUCAGGGAUGACUUGGUAAUAGUUGGGAUCCCCUACAGCGGCCAAAUCCCGGCGCACCCAGCUGCCUCUCGUGGUCCCCGCUCCUUCAGCUCCACUUCACCGGCGCUGUCAGUCCACAGGAGUAGGGGAGGCGUGCCCAUCAACAAACAAGAACAUAAGGUAUGUGCUUGGAAACUUAAAAUUCCGUACACAUUUGGGAAACAGAAGUUGUAGCUUGUUUCAAAGUUCAAAACGAAAAAGAUAUUCAGUUCAACUUGUUCUAGCAAACCAUGUGUGAGACACCAUAGAGUGAAAAUGUUGCUGUGUUGCCAUGUCUCUUAUUGGUUCAACUACAAAUAAUUACAUCCCUUCGACUACAUAUAUUACACUAGUUCAACUGUGUGCGUCACACCAAUGGACCUAAGUUUUACAUAUGUUAUCAGUUUGAAAAAACUUUGGAUUUUGAUGAUGCAAGCUGUAUCUACAUAGUUCUUUUUUCUAUUUCCUAUAAGUUCAAGUGAGCAAUUUCUAUAAGUUGGCGGGUUGUUUACUCAGGCAGUUAAAAAAAGUGGUCAUUGUUGUCUCUUUUAAAAGAUGUUCGAGUGAUUCUUGUCAAAAUGCUGCCAAUGUUAAGAGAAGAACUCCUUCCUCCAUUGGCUGUCUCAGUUCAUCUGGUUAAACAUCUCAGUGCAACUAUAUUGACUAUGCCUGGAACAGUAACAUGGUGACGGUUGUGUUUCAUACAUCCAAGCAAUAUGAUGCUUGCAACGGAGUAUUGUACCAAGCUACAAUUUGCAUUGAAAUGCCGCUACCACUAUGUAUUUGUACUUAAACGAACUUGUAGAAACAACUCUUUCUAUCUCACUCGUACUUCUAUUUUUUGUAUGGGGCAUCUUCUAGCAUAUGAUUGUACUCAUUUUCCUUUAGAUAACUACUCCCUCCGUUCCGAAUUACUUGUCGCAGGUAUGGAUGUAUCUAGAUGUAUUUUAGUUCUAGAUACAUCCAUUUCUGCGACGAGUAAUUUGGAACGGAGGGAGUACUUAUUAAAAAGAUAUAUCAGUCGGCAUGCUAAAUUUCAAUUUCCCAUUUUAAAGUUCAGAUUUUGCUGCAUCUAAAGUGCACCUAUGCUAAUUCUUUUCAUCGAAGGGAGAAGCAGCAGGGACAGUACGCGUCGGUGUCUAUAUUCAGCUUUAUUUUUGUUUUGGAGUUGAUGUGAAAGAGCUUUUGAAAGCAAACAUCAGUCCAGUUUCGUUUUGUAUCAGCUGCUCCAAGGAAUGAAGUACAUGCAGCAAAUGUUUUCCAUCGGGAUCUGAAGCCCAAGAAUAUUCUAGCGAAUGUUGACUGCAAGAUGAAAUUUGUGAUUUUGGACUUGCCCGUGUACCAUUUAAUGACGGGGCUCCAUCAGCCAUAUUCAGAAGUUUGAUUUUGUGAAGAAGUAUGCAAAAUUUCAAUGCAGGUGUGGAGAACCAAAAAGUUCUAACGACGGUGAAUCACAAGUUCAAGGACAGCAAUCCGGGGGCAUGGGGGCAUCUGCUGAUGCAAAUCUUGGUACUGAUGUGUUUAAGUCAAAGGACUUCGGUGUGUUUGUUGUAACCCAUAAAAUGGAAAAUGUUCUCUGGUGCCUAAUCUUGUUUCCACUUAUGUUUAUA